This 1648-nucleotide ribosomal RNA is filed under the name human gut metagenome. RNAcentral describes it as "bacterial LSU rRNA". It matches the Rfam family "Bacterial large subunit ribosomal RNA", at positions 860 to 2524 of the family's 2925-position model. The record is from RNAcentral.
CGAAAUAGCUUUAGGGCUAGCCUCAUGGAUCAUUGAUGGGGGUAGAGCACUGAAUGUGCGCGGGGGCCACAAAGCCUACCAAACGCUAUCAAACUUCGAAUACCAUACAAUGCAGACCAUGGGAGUCAGUCCGCGAGAGAUAAGUUCCGCGGGCAAAAGGGGAACACCCCAGAUCAACCGCUAAGGUCCCCAAGUUCACGUUAAGUGGAGAAGGAUGUGGAAUUGCACAGACAACCAGGAUGUUGGCUCAGAAGCAGCCACACAUUUAAAGAGUGCGUAAUAGCUCACUGGUCGAGUGAUUGUGCGCCGAAGAUGUCCGGGGCUAAACGUGACACCGAAGCGAUGGGUGCAUCUGAAAGGAUGCGCGGUAGAGGAGCAAUGUGCAGAGGCAGAAGCCGUAUCGAGAGGCACGGUGGACACUGCACAAGAGAGAAUGCCGGUAUGAGUAGCGAGAGGCAUGCGAGAAACAUGCCCGUCGAAAGCCCAAGGUUUCCUGGGGAAGGUUCAUCCGCCCAGGGUAAGUCGGGGCCUAAGCCGAGGACGGAAGUCGUAGGCGAUGGACAGCAGGUGUAGAUUCCUGCACUACCGAUGGAAUGAAGCAGUGACACAGAAGGAUAACUCGAGCAGGGUGAUGGUCAACCCUGUGCAAGCAUCAAGGUUGGGUUGUAGUGAAGUACGCAAUCCUAUAAGCUGAGAUGUGAUGCGGACCGAAAUUUCAGUAGGGAAGCGAGUGAGUUCACGCUGGCGAGAAAAGCUGCUAGUAUAUCCAAAGGUACCCGUACCGGAAACCGACGCAGGUGGGCGAGGAGAGAAUCCUGAGACGAACGGGAGAACCCUUGUUAAGGAACUCGGCAAAAUGACCCCGUAACUUCGGGAUAAGGGGUGCCUGCGAGAGCAGGCCGCAGAGAAUAGUCACAAGCGACUGUUUAGCAAAAACACAGGUAUCUGCGAAAGCGAGAGCUGACGUAUAGGUGCUGACACCUGCCCGGUGCUGGAAGGUUAAGGGAACAUGUUAGAGCAAUCGAAGCAUCGAACCGAAGCCCCAGUAAACGGCGGCCGUAACUAUAACGGUCCUAAGGUAGCGAAAUUCCUUGUCGGGUAAGUUCCGACCCGCACGAAUGGUGUAACGACUUGUGAGCUGUCUCAACAGGGGGCCCGGUGAAAUUGAAGUAUGGGUGAAGAUGCCCAUUACCCGCGACUGGACGGAAAGACCCCGUAGAGCUUUACUGCAGCCUGAUAUUGAGUUUCGGUAACUGAUGCACAGGAUAGGUGGGAGUCUGAGAGACACGGGUUUCGGCUCGUGUGGAGACGCUGUUGGGAUACCACUCUUCGGUUACUGAAAUUCUAACAUAGCUCUGUGAAACCAGAGGAUGGACAGUGUCAGGUGGACAGUUUGACUGGGGCGGUCGCCUCCGAAAGAGUAACGGAGGCGCCCAAAGGUACCCUCAGAAUGGAUGGAAACCAUUCGAAGAGCGCAAAGGCAGAAGGGUGCCUGACUGCGAGAUUGACAAAUCGAGCAGAGACGAAAGUCGGGCUUAGUGAUCCGGCGGUAUUGAGUGGAAAAGCCGUCGCUUAACGGAUAAAAGCUACCUCGGGGAUAACAGGCUGAUCUCCCCCAAGAGUCCACAUCGACGGGGAGGUUUGGCAC